Molecule: unclassified non-coding RNA, 2133 nt
Filed under: Polistes dominula (European paper wasp)
Lineage: Eukaryota; Metazoa; Arthropoda; Insecta; Hymenoptera; Vespidae
Description: protein TANC2, transcript variant X3
Source: RNAcentral
AACUAAAAAGACAAGAAUAAUUACACUCUGGUAAUCAAAGUACAAAUUUAAAAACAUCAAAUUUCGAAUUUGAAUUAAUUUUGUUCAUUAGAAGAGAAUUUGAAACGAUACAAUUAUGGUGUUUUCUAAUUUGGAUGAGUCAGAAAUCACUGGCCCCUACCAACAAAUCAAGAAAGAUAAGAUGAAUCCAACGUCAAAGGAUUGUCAGAAACAAACUCAGCAUCAGGAAAGUAACAAGAGUGAUCAAAAGUAUGGCGUUUGGGGACCAGUUUACAAAAAUAAGCAAGAUUUCGUAAACAUGCACAUUUGUUAAUUUUUUCUAACACCAUGUAACAUUUAUUAUAUAUAACCAAUCUUUUUUUUUUUUUUCAAAAUGCUUUCUUUUUGGCACAAAAUGAAUGAACAAUUAAUUCAAAUUCGAAAUUUUCAUAAAUCAUACUUAUGGCUAGGAUAACAUAAUGGUAUUACUCUUCAUAGAAAAAAAAAAUAGAAAACUUUUGCGCGUAAUAUAUUUUUCUUUCUAAACACAAAAUCAAAAUUAAUAAGGAAAUAGAUUAACUUUUGAAAUGCAUUGAAUCAGCAUUCUAUGCAUUCCCUUCAUGUGAUAUUCAAAUAUACUAUAUUAUACUUAGAUUAUUGUAUUUAGAUUAACACUUUAAUGGCCGUACGUGUACUCAGUCAAACAUUGUCAGGGACCCGGUAGAUAAUAUUUUUCAAGAAUUAAUUUAAAAAAAAACUUUAUUGUUAUUCACGAAAAAAUUAACAUAAAACAAAAAACAACACACGUAUUGUGUGAGCGGCCACAUUAAAGUGUUAAUAUUUUAACGGGGAUAAUUGUUACCUAUAUUUGGGAAAUAUACAAAACAUAUAUUGCAUUAUGGGUAUUUUUAUUUAUUGUAUAUUCUUUAAAAUACUAUUUAUCUAUUUAAAGUACUGCACUAUUUUAUAUAAUACUAACCACUAAUAUUUAGCUAUUAAUUUAGAUUGAAAUGUGUUAAAACAUUGAUCCAAUAAACAGCAAGGCGUUAACACUUUAAAGCAAAACAAUUUACCACGAUAAUAUUGAUCGAACAAGGAAGAAGUAUGUAGAAAGAGGAAGAAAAUAAGAAUCCAAAUAUAAAUUUCAGUGGUAUGAGGUGAAAGAGGAGUAGACAAGAUCAGUAUCGAAAGUGAUGGCAUCCGGCUAACAGUGAAGAAGAAAAUCCUUAAUGCUUUGGUUAGAGACGGGAAGUAAAAGUAGUUGUAGAAGGGGAAAGGUAUGGAGAAGGUAUGGAAGCAAGCAUGAGCUUUACGGAGGGGUAAAAAGCUCGUGGAAGAGGAAAAAGCUAUGAGUCUCCCGACAAUCGUGGAUGCAUCCUUGUUGCAGUCGGUUCUUGCACGCUAACUCGUUCGUUUCUAAAGUUUGUGCGGAGCAAGCUCGAUUUAGCAUAAUUCUCAUUUUUAUUUUAGUAUUUUAUUUUUCAUAUGACCAUAUACAUAUAUAUAUAUAUAUAUACAUAUAAAUAUAUUUAUUUAUUUAAUUAAUUUAUUUAUUUAUUCAUAAACAUCCAUUCCUUGGCUAUCAAAGUCAACUGAAUUUUGUAUUUAGUUAUCAUCAAUUGAUCGAAUUUCUAAAUCGAUUUUUGUAUGAAAAAAAAGAAUGAAAAUAUAAAAGAAAGUGUGUCUUCGUUAGUAAGUAGUGAAGUAGUUCGUUCCAGACGAAAUUACAACGAAGAGAUACGAGACGAGACGAAAAGAAACGAAACGAAACGAGACUGACGCUAUUUUCGUAGCACCCUGAACAUACACCUUGGGUGCUAUUUUUAUCGGCACCCAAUAGUCACUCGUCAAGUCACCGUAUAAGAAGACAACCCCUCGCGAACAGCCGGAGGUGUACUAUCAACUAACGUCCCCCUAAGUCAUUUCUAACGUGAUUCUAUCGUGAAAAACGCGAGGUAUAGUUGUUCAUCGUAACAACCAUGCACGUAUGCUACUUUUUCCUGUAUCACCAUUAACACGAGGACAACUUUACGAGGGGAUAUAGAACACGUGCUAUUUUUUCUAACAGAAAUCAGUACAGUUAAAUGUGAUGAGUAACUUUUUAAAUUUGUCAAUAUAUAUAUUAAUGAAAUAAAAAUUUAUAGAAAAAAAAAA